Long non-coding RNA from Gorilla gorilla gorilla (western lowland gorilla), 6072 nucleotides. RefSeq lists it as uncharacterized. Lineage: Eukaryota; Metazoa; Chordata; Mammalia; Primates; Hominidae. The transcript has 2 exons. The record is from RefSeq and is a predicted model, not a curated record.
UCCAGGAACCUUCACCAUGGAAACCCUUGUGCUCAUGGGCGUGGUCUCAAGACACAGUCAGCUGUUGGGGAUCAGAGGCCGCACUCAUCGUAGCAGAGAGGCAGGACCAACUGGGAGAGGGUCCUUCUGUGACACCUACUGCAUCACCAGGCUGUGUGAAGUGACUCAGCUGCCAGAACUCACACAAUAUAAUUCUACACCAAAGCUCACGGGAAAAAUGCUCCACGACCCUCAGACUUAAACAGCAGCACUGGCUCCUCCCCAGAUCUCCAGCUCCCUGACCUUCAAACUCCAACUCCAACACCAGCUCUGCCCCGGGUCUCCAGCUCCACAAUCCUCAAACUACAACAGCAGCACCAGCUCCCCUGGGGAUCUCCAGCUCAAUGACUCUCAGACUUGGGAGGCGGCACCGGCUCCCCACCAAGCCUCCAGCUCCACAACCUUCAAACUAGAAAGCAGCACCGGCUACCCCCUGGGUCUCCAGUUCCCUCAAACUUCAACUAUAGCACUGGCUCUUCCCCGAGCCACCAGCUCCACAACCCUCAACUUACACGGUGGUAGCACCAGCUCCUCCCUAGGUCUCCAGCUACACGACCAUCAAACUUGAACUGCAACACCAGCUCCUCUUCGGCCUCCAGCUCCACAAUCCUCCAACAACAACAGCAACACCGGCUCCUCCCUGAAUCUCCAGCUCAACAACCCUCAGACUUGAGAGGCAGCACUGGCACCUCCCCAAGGCUCCAGCUCCACGACCCUCAGAUUUGAACAGCGGUAGCACCAGCUCCUGUCCAGGUCUCCAGCUUCAUGAUCCUUAAACUAGAACAGCAACACCACCACCUCCCUGGGUUUCCAGCUCCACGACCCUAAGACAUGAAUGGCAGGACCGGGUCCCCCCUAGGGCUCCAGCUCCAAGACCCACAGAUAUAGACGGCAGCACUGGCUCUUCCUGGGAUCUCCAGCUCCAUGGCCUUCAAACAAGAUCAGCAGCACCAGCUCCCCUCUGGUUCUCCAGCUCCACAAUCCUCAGACAUGAACAGCAGCACAGGCUCCUCCUUGGAUCUCCAGCUUCGCUACCGUCAGACUAGAACAGCAACACUGGUUCUUCCCUGGGUCUCCAGCUCUACAAGUCUCAGACUUGAAAGGCAGCACUGGCUCCUCAGAAAGUUUCUGGCUCCAAGCUGGUGCUGCUGUCCUAGUUUGAAGGUCAUGGAACUGGAGACCCGGGGAGGAAACAUUUGAACAGCAGCACUGGCCCCUCCCCGGGUCUCAGGCUCCACAACCCUCAGACUUAAAAAGCCAUAGUACUGGCUUCUCCCUGGGUCUCCAGCUUUACAACCCUCAGACAUGAACAGCAGCACCGGCUCCUCCCCCUGUCUCCAGUUCCACGAACCUCAAACUACAACAGCAGUACCGGCUUCUCCUCAGGUCUCCAGAUCCACGACCCUCAAAAUAGAAUGGCAUCACUGGCUCCUCCCUGCGUCUCCAGCUCCCAAACUCUCAAACUUCAAUUGACACACCGGACCCUCCCCACAGUUAAACAGCAGCACAGGCUGUUCCCCAAAGCUCCAGAUCCACGACCCUCUGACUUAAAUGGCGAUAGCACCGGCUGCUCCCUAGGUCUCCAGUUCCACGACCCUCAAACUACAGAGCAGCACCGGCUCCUCCUUGAGUCUCCAGCUUCACUACACUCAGACUAGAACAGCAACACCGGUUCCUCCCUGGGUCUCCAGCUCAAUGACUCUCAGAUUUGAAAGGCAGCACCAGCUCCUCAAAAAGGUUCUGGCUCCAAGACCCUCAAACUAGAAUAGCAGCAGCUGCUGCAUCUUGGAUCUCCAGCUCCACAACCCUCAAAGUAGAAAAGCAGCCCUGGAUCCUCCCUGCCUCUCCAGCUCCUCAAGUCUGAGGGUUGUAGAGCUGGAGAUGCAGGGAGGAGUCAGUGCUGCUGUUCUAGUUUGAGGGUCGUGGAUCUGGAGACCCAGGGUGGAGCCGGUGCUGCUGUUCUAGUGUGAGGGUCAUGGAGCUGGAAGACCCCGGGAGGAGCCGGUGCUGCUGUUCUAGUGUGAGGGUCAUGGAGCUGGAAGACCCCGGGAGGAGCUGCUGCUGCUGUUCUAGUGUGAGGGUCAUGGAGCUGGAAGACCCUGGGAGGAGCUGCUGCUGCUGUCCUAGUUUGAAGGUCAUGGAGCUGGAGACCCGGGAAGGAGCCAUUUGAACAGCAGCACUGGCCCCUCCCCAGGUCUCAGGCUCCACGACCCUCAGACUUAAAAAGCCGUAGUACGGGCUUCUCCCUGGGUCUCCAGCUCUACAACCCUCAGACAUGAAGAGCAGCACCGGCUCCUCCCCCUGUCUCCCGUUCCAUGACCCUCAAACUACAACAGCAGUACCAGCCUCUCCCCAGGUCUCCAGAUCCACGACUCUCAAAAUAGAAUGGCAUCACCAGCUCCUCCCUGGGUCUCCAGCUCCCAAACCCUCAAACUUCAACUAACACAGCAGAUCCUCCCCACAGUUAAACAGCAGCAUGGGCUGUUCCCCAAAGCUCCAGAUCCACGACCCUCAGUAGCACUGGCUCCUCCCAAGGUCUCCAGUUCCAUGACCCUCAAACUACACAGCAGCACCGGCUCCUCCCCAGGUCUACAGCUCCACCACCCUCACACUAGACACCAAGACUACCUCCUUCCCGCUCUCCAGCUACACGACCCUCAGACUUGAACAGCUGCAGCGGCUCCUCCCUAGAUUUCCAGCUCCAUGACCCUCAACCUGCAACAGCAGCACCAGCUCCUCCCUGUACCUCAAGCCCCAUGACCCUCUGACUUGAUCAACAGCAACAGCAGCUCCCUCCCUGGUCUCCAGCUCCACAACCUUCAGCCUUAAACAGCAGCAGCACCAGCUCCUCCCUGGGUCUCCAGCUCCACAACCCUCAGACUAGAACCGCACCCCUCCUCCCUGAGUCUCCAGCUCCAUGACCGUCAAACUACAACAGCAACACAGGUUCCUGUCUGGAUCUCCAGCUCAGCAACUCUCAGACGAGGCAGCACCGGCAACUCACCAAGGCUCCAGCUCCACAACCCUCAGAUUUGAAUAAUGGUAGCACCAGCUCCUGUCCAGAUCUCCAGCUUCAUGAUCCUUAAACUAGAACAGCAGCACCGCUGCCUCCCUGGGUUUCCAGCUCCACAACCCUAAGACAUGAAUGGCAGAACCAGCUCCCCACAAGGGUUCCAGCUCCAGGACCCACAGAUUUAAAUGGCAGCACUGGCUCUUCCCAGGAUUUCCAGCUCCACUACCCUCAAACUAGAAGAGGAGCACCGGCUCCUCCCUGGGUCUCCAGCUCCCAAACCCUCAGACAUCACCUGACACACCGGAUCCUCCCCACAGUUACAUAGCAGCAUGGGCUGUCCCCGAAAACUCGAGAUCCACAACCCUCUGACUUCAAUGGCGGUAGCACUGGUUCCUCCCUAGGUCUCCAGUUCCAUGACCCUCAAACUACACAGCAGCACCAGGUCCUCCCCAGGUCUACAGCUCCACCACCCUCACACUAGACACCAAGACUACCUCCUCCCAGCUCUCCAGCUACACGACCCUCAGAAUUGAACAGCAGCAGCGUCUGCUCCCUGUACCUCAAGCUCCAUGACCCUCAUAUAUGAACAACAGCAACACCAGCUAAUGCCUAGGGCUCCAGCUCCAGGAUCCACAGAUUUAAACUGCAGCACCAGCUCGUCCAAGGAUCUCCAGCUCCACCACCCUCAGACUAGAACAAGACCUCUACUCCCUGGGUCGCGAGCUUCCGGACCCUCGAACUAUGAAAACAUUGCUCCUCCCUGGGUCUGCAGCUCCACGACCCUCAAACCAGAUCAAUAUCGCUCCUCCCUGUGUCAUCAGCUUCCUGACCCUCGAACUAUGACAAAAUUGCUCCUCCCUAGGUCAGCAGCUCCACAACCCUCAAACCAGAUCAAGAUCUCUCCUCCCUGGGUCGCCAGCUUCCUGACCUUCAAACAACAGAAACAUUGCUCGUCCCUGGGUCAGCAGCUCCACGAUCCUCAAACUAGAAUGAGACCUCUCCUCCCUGCGUCGCCAGCUUCCAGACCCUUGAACUAUGAAAACAUUGCUCCUCCCUGGGUCGGGAGCUCCAUGACCCUCAGACUAGAACACGAUCUCUCCUCCCUGGGUCACCAGCUUCCGAACCUUGGAACUAAAACAACAUUGCUCCUCCCUGGGUCAGCAGCUCCACGACCCUCAAACCAGAUCAAGAUCUCUCCUCCCUGUGUCGUCAGCUUCCUGACCCUCGAACUAUGACAGCAUUGCUCCUCCCUGGGUCCGCAGCUCCACGACCCUCAAACUAGAACAAGACCUCUCCUCCGUGUGUCGCCAGCUUCCUGACCCUCGAACUAUGACAGCAUUGCUCCUCCCUGGGUCCGCAGCUCCACGACCCUCAAACCAGAUCAAGAUCUCUCCUCCGUGUGUCAUCAGCUUCCAGACCCUCAAACUAUGACAGCAUUGCUCCUCCCUGGGUCCGCAGCUCCACGACCCUCAAACUAGAACAAGACCUGUCCUCCGUGUGUCGCCAGCUUCCUGACCCUCAAACUACAAAAACAUUGCUCCUCCUUGGGUCUGCAGCCCCACGACCCUCAAACUAGAACAAGACCUGUCCUCCCUGUGUCCCCAGCUUCCUGACCCUCGAAGUACAACAUUGCUCCUCCCUGGGUCUGCAGCUCCACGACCCUCAAACCAGAUCAAGAUCUCUCCUCCCUGUGUCAUCAGCUUCCUGACCCUCGAACUAUGACAGCAUUGCUCCUCCCUGGGCGCACCCUCAAACUAGAACCAGACCUCUCCUCCCUGUGUCGCCAGCUUCCUGACCCUUGAACUAUGAAAACAUGGCUCCUCCCUGGGUCUGCAGCUCCACGACCCUCAAACUAAAACAAGACCUCUCCUCUCUAGGUCUGCAGCUUCCAGUCCCUCAAAUAACAACAUUGCUCCUCCCUGGAUCUGCAGCUCCAUGACCCUCAGACUACAACAAGAUCUCUCCUCCCUGGGUCACCAGCUUCCGGACCCUCGAACUACGAAAACAUUGCUCCUCCGUGGGUCUCCAGCUCCAUGACCCUCAAACUAAAACAAGAUCUCUCCUCCCUGUGUCAUCAGCUUCCAGUCCCUCAAAUAACAACAUUGCUCCUCCCUGGGGUCUGCAGCUCCACGACCCUCAGACUAGAACAAGACCUCUCCUCCCUGAGUCACCAGCUUCCGAACCUUCGAACUAAAACAACAUUGCUCCUCCCUGGGUCAGCAGCUCCACGUCCCUCAAACUAGAACAAGACCUCUCCUCCCUAGGUCUGCAGCUUCCAGUCCCUCAAAUAACAACAUUGCUCCUCCCUGGGUCCGCAGCUCCACGUCCCUCAAACUAGAACAAGAUCUCUCCUCCCUAGGUCUGCAGCUUCCAGUCCCUCAAAUAACAACAUUGCUCCUCCCUGGAUCUGCAGCUCCACGACCCUCAGACUAGAACAAGAUCUCUCCUCCCUGGGUCACCAGCUUCUGGACCCUCGAACUACAAAAACAUUGCUCCUCCCUGGGUCUGCAGCUCCACGACCCUCAAACUAAAACAAGAUCUCUCCUCCCUGUGUCGCCAGCUUCCGGACCCUCGAACUAUGACAACAUUGCUCCUCCCUGGGUCUGCAGCUCCACGACUCUCAAACUGGAACAGCAGCACCAGCUCCUUCCUGGACCUCCAGGUCAAUGACUCUCAGACUUCAAAGGCAGCUGCAGCUCCACCCCCAGGCUCCAGCUCCAAAACCCUCAGAUGUGAGCAGUGGCAGCACCAGCUCCUUUCUGCGUCUCCGGCUUCAUGAUCCUUAAAUUAGAACAGCAGCGCCAUCUUCUCCCUGCGUCUCCAGCUCCAGGAACCUCAAACUGCAACAGGAGCACCCGUUCCUCUGGGAUUUUCACCUCCACGACCCUGAGGCGUCAGUGGCAGCACUGGCUCCUCCCCUGGGCUGCAGCUCCAGAACCCUCAUGAAUAAUCCCUUCUCAUGAAAUGUAGCAGUCAGGAAAACUGCCGAGGCAGUAAAUAAAUAAAUGUUUUCUUUCAAA